Molecule: non-coding RNA, 2424 nt
Organism: Caretta caretta (loggerhead turtle)
Lineage: Eukaryota; Metazoa; Chordata; Testudines; Cheloniidae
Source: RefSeq, a predicted model, not a curated record
UCUCUAUUCCUUGCCUGAUCCAUGAGUAAAGAAAUUGGUGGUGACAUUCACAGAGGGAAUCCCAGAUGGAGAUCCUGCAGCCCACCCAUGGAUCCCACUCCUAAGAUCAAGGGAUUCUAGCCCCAGCCCUGAGAACAAUGAAGGUUUUGCCCGCCCCUGCUCUGGUUGUCCAACAGUCAGUACCAUGGCCCUGUGAUGAAGUCCAAGUGACAGAAAUAGGAGACGGAGACGACGAAGAGGAGGAAAAGGACUAGAAUGGCCUUCUCUGCCUAGCUGCCAGCCCCUUCUCUGCGAGUGCCCACUGAAAUAGCAAAGAACAAUUUAAGUUUCUUUGUCUCCCUUAUCAGUGUGAGCAGCCAAUGUGCUAUGGCAACUACAAUCUUGAAAGUCGGAUGUGAGGGGAGGGGGCUAUCCAGCUGUGGGGAAUGAAUUGCUGGCACACUCAAGGGGCCAGUCCAAGUAAGCCCGCCUGCUACAACAAGAUAAGGUGGCUGGUUACUCAGGCCUCCAUGCGAAUCUGGCAUCACUGUGGCAUCUUGCUGUGUGGGAGAAAUAUCUCCAACCAAGACAAAGAGAUUGCGAUGGCAGAAGUAGUAGUCAGUGCCAAAUUUUACCCUCUAAUUCAAUGGUAGGGCUGAAUCUUAGUGCUCCUCAAAAUAAGGGAGCGAGAGCCUUUGGGUCAUGCCAGGAUAGGCUUCUCGUGCUCCUAUCAAUCCCAAUCCCACACCUUUUCUGCCACUAGAGUUCAGUCCUGAUAGGCAAACCCCUUCUUCAAUAGUCUAGUCCUAACUCCCCCAACAGCUCUGCCGCAGCACCUCAGUCCUACCACACGACAGUCAGAGGUACAACACGCCUCCAAGUGAGUGACAGAUUGUGGCCAGUAAAGUCGUGUUACCUAGUUAUGAAUUGAAGUGCAAAGCCAGCUCUCCCAGAGCAACAAGUGUUACCCUCCUCCAUCCUAAAUUCCCUCAGCGAUUCUAUUUUCACAGCUUCUCCCAUGGCUCCAAAUCCAGUGGUGACAGCAAGUGCUUGGCAACCUCAAAUACCUGCCAGUGCUCCCAUGUGAGGCAUGGGGAGUGUCUGGCCAAGUUGCCCAUUCAGAUGGGGAUGAGCAGGAUAAAUCCUGAUGGAGGCUUUCACCUAACAGUGGACUGUCCUAAACUGCUGUGUGGUGUUGCUGUUUGUGUAUUUGAUGGUGAGAGUCUUACAGUUAUACAGCACCUUUCAUCCCAAAUCAUGCAACAGACUUAAACUCACCAGAGGGGUCACUUCACCCACCUCUGAAAUGCAACAAAUGAAACACAGCAGUUGUUUAGCAGCAUCGCACAACAGUCGAAGGAAGGAAGUAAAGAGGAAUACUUAACAGAAAACAUUGGAUCCGUACUUAAUAAUAAAAGUACGGAGCGCUAUUACAGACCAUGGGCUCGGCCGCGAAGGGAAUAGCAGUAUCGUUCUUCUCACUUUGCGGACUGAGGUACAGACCAGUGACUGCCUCAGAUCACAGGGAGUUAGCGGUAGAACCCAGACAUCCUGCCGCUAAAGUCCCACGCUCUGCCCCUGCUUUAUCCCUUCCAGCACGAGUCUGGUGGUGAGUACUGCAGAUUUCAAUGGGAGUUAGGUGGCUCAAUACCUUGAAGGAUCUGUGCCUCUAGGCCUGUUUCCACAUCUGCCCACAGGGAGAAUAAUCCUUCCUUUCUCUCCCCUGCCCGCCUUUUCUCUCUCGUUAAUGUAGCCUGUAAACUCUUAAGUUUGUGCAACAGCUCCUAGCACCAUGAGGCCCUGAUCUCAGCUAAGGUCACUAGACACUACUAUAAUGCAAAUCAAUAAUCCAUUUCAGCAGCAGAUGCACUGAUUCCUAUCUUCUGUUCGUGAAAAGCACUAGGACCCCCUUCAGGAUGAAAGGCUGCAAGCACCUCAAGCUGGGAUUCCUGUUGUCCUACCUAUCUACUGGUUAACACAGCUGUGGCAGAUGUCCAUGAGAAAUCAACCCCAAGUUAGAUCAUACCAGAGGCAUUACGCAAGUGUUUGAUCAUCCCAACAUGCAGAGGGGGAAGGGUCUGCACCCCUUCUUUUGAAAAUGUUUUCUGGCAAAAACAGAUCUUCAUUAACAUCAGGAUAACGAAUAAUGCACUGCACUCACUGAGCAUCUCAUGGAGCCUUGGAGAAGCUCAGAACACUCUGCAGCCAUUAAUGAAUGAAUCCUCACAGUCCCCAGCAUUCAUAUUAACCUAGACUUCAUCGAUGCGGGAAACUGAAGUGCAGAGAAGUGAGUGCCACACGGUGCAUCAAUUGCAGAGCAAGGGAGAGAACCCAGGAGCCCUGACUCCUAUGACGUCUCCUAUUUUGAAACGAGGACCUGCUUGGGCAUGCUUCUAUCUGCAUCAUUCCCUGUAACAGCUCUCAGCUCUACCAACCAUCCCACCA